UUAGCCUGUAAGACAAAUUUAAGGGCCCACAACCACGGUGUGUUGUUAAAGCAGAGGGCUCUGUAGCUGCUCGCUUUCUGUUCUGGUUUCAGUAAAAAACUCUGCUAGAUUUAAUCAACAGUAGUUUUAUAUUACAAAUAGGCUAACUUCAAAUGGACAUACUUAGAUUUUCAAUACUUUACCCUCAAAGUUCACCUGCUGGUCGGUUUCUGAGGCACGUUCGCGGUUCACCGCCGUCUCCUGGUCCUCAAGUACCCGAUGCAACAGCCCAACUCUGGCCUUGAGGGGUUUGAAAUGACCGCGUCAACUGACUUUGCAGUCCCAUCCACCCCAGUGCGGGACAGACUGAUUUCCUCUCAGCCUAAAGGAGGGGUUCUGGAGACCAGGCAGCAACUGUAUGGUAUCACUACUGGUGCAACCUGUGCCUACCUUUGGAGAGCAAGAGCAAUUUGGGAAAGAUAUCACUCUGUUAAAAGUGGACAGAAAGCCAACAGAGCAGAAGGGAGAAAGACAGCGUCUUGAAAUUGCAAAGUAAAGACACAAACUGAGCCUAGAAGCCUGAAAGCUGUAAGUCAUGUGUUGUUCAUUUGCUUAGGCCUAAGUCUUUUAACCGGCAUCAGUGCAGACCGUUUGUAAAAUGUAUUCAUACUCCAUCAGUAGGUCCUUAAAUUUAUGUGUUCAUAUUUAUUUACAUCUUCACUAUGUUUUGUGAAUGAAUUUGCAACACAGUUUUUAUGAGGUACUUCUUAAUAAGACCCUGUAGGUGUCACUGUUAUACUUGUUAUCUGGCACUGGGGAGCUGCUGUAGCUGCUAUUGUCUAAAUUGGAGAAGAAAUUGAUAUUAAUGUUAGGCACACAGAGGUGCUGCAUUUUCUACUAGAGUAUGGGGUCAGUUUCCGUUGUAAUUUAAAAUAUCCUUUUUAUCGCAUUGGAUCACCACGGUGUGGAAACCCUGUGUUUAAUCCUUCCCAGCUUUAUCCAAGACUUCUUUUUUUUAGACUAAAAUCUUUUUCUUUUCUUUCCCGUGUUACCAGGUGCUUAUUAAUCUGCAUUAUUAUUUGCUUAUAUUUCAGAAACCACAUCCAACUUCACAUGUAACGUCAAAUACUUCAUACUUCAUAGUUAACUUAAUGUUUGCGUUGUAAAUAAAUCUUCCUGGAUCUCAAAGUCAGACAUCUGGUUCAAGUUGUUACUGGACACCCUACAGCGGGCCAGUGUUUCAGUAGCCAGUUUUCAAUAGU
This is a long non-coding RNA of Etheostoma spectabile (orangethroat darter), 1241 nucleotides long. RefSeq lists it as uncharacterized. The transcript is spliced from 3 exons. The record is from RefSeq and is a predicted model, not a curated record. NCBI's taxonomy places the organism in Eukaryota, Metazoa, Chordata, Actinopteri, Perciformes, Percidae.